Molecule: long non-coding RNA, 241 nt
Filed under: Parus major (Great Tit)
Lineage: Eukaryota; Metazoa; Chordata; Aves; Passeriformes; Paridae
Description: lncRNA (ENSPMJG00000012687.1)
Source: RNAcentral
GCAGAUGGUCGAGAAGGUAACUUAUUCACUGUUUAAUUUGGUCUGUUUAUUCUGUUGGCAAUUAGUUCCAUUCCUCAGGGCCCACUGUUCGCUGCUGUUCCCACCAUGCUCUGAACCAUUGGAGACUGUGCAUUGCGCAGGAAGACAUUCUGGAUUUGGAGAGCUGGUGCUUCUGGUGACAUUGAGAAAUCUCUCAGCUGCCUGGCUACAGGCUAGUCACAGCUGUAAAUCUGGGCUAUAA